GACGAACGCUGGCGGCGUGCUUAACACAUGCAAGUCGAACGGUGAAGCUCCAGCUUGCUGGAGUGGAUCAGUGGCGAACGGGUGAGUAACACGUGAGCAACCUGCCCCUGACUCUGGAAUAAGCGCUGGAAACGGCGUCUAAUACUGGAUACGAGAAGGGUCCGCAUGGGCACUUUCUGGAAGUUUUUCGGUUGGGGAUGGGCUCGCGGCCUAUCAGCUUGUUGGUGAGGUAAUGGCUCACCAAGGCGACGACGGGUAGCCGGCCUGAGAGGGCGACCGGCCACACUGGGACUGAGACACGGCCCAGACUCCUACGGGAGGCAGCAGUGGGGAAUAUUGCACAAUGGGCGAAAGCCUGAUGCAGCGACGCCGCGUGAGGGAUGACGGCCUUCGGGUUGUAAACCUCUUUCAGCAGGGAAGAAGCGAAAGUGACGGUACCUGCAGAAGAAGCACCGGCUAACUACGUG
RNAcentral lists this ribosomal RNA (467 nucleotides) under uncultured bacterium. RNAcentral describes it as "partial 16S ribosomal RNA". It matches the Rfam family "Bacterial small subunit ribosomal RNA", at positions 28 to 507 of the family's 1533-position model. The record is from RNAcentral.